This 494-nucleotide ribosomal RNA is filed under the name uncultured bacterium. RNAcentral describes it as "partial 16S ribosomal RNA". It matches the Rfam family "Bacterial small subunit ribosomal RNA", at positions 28 to 507 of the family's 1533-position model. The record is from RNAcentral.
GAUGAACGCUGGCGGCGUGCCUAACACAUGCAAGUCGAACGGAGAAGCGCCUAGCUUUUUGGUCGGUGGGGAUGAGUGGCCAACGGGUGAGUAACUCGUGAGCAACCUUCCCCCUCCUGCUUGAUAACCGCAUGAAAGUGUGGCUAAUACGGGAUAUUCUGGGUCUGUCGCAUGAUGGGUCUGGGAACGAUUUUGUGUCGGUGGGGGAUGGGCUCGCGGCUUAUCAGCUUGUUGGUGGGGUGAUGGCCUACCAAGGCGGUGACGAGUCGCCGGCCUGGGAGGGUCGACGGCCACGCUGGUACUAAGACACGGCGCAGCCUACUAGAGGCAGCAGCAGUGGGGAUUCUGGCACAAGCGGCGAACUCAUGAUGCAACGACGCGGCAGGAGGGAUGGACGCCGUCGCGUUAUGAACCUCUUUUGAAGGUGAAGCAAGGCUGCCUUGUUUGUGAGUGGGUUGACGGUAGCUGAAAAAGAAGCGCCGGCUAACUACGUG